CCUACGGGUGGCAGCAGUGAGGAAUAUUGGUCAAUGGACGAGAGUCUGAACCAGCCAAGUAGCGUGAAGGAUGACUGCCCUAUGGGUUGUAAACUUCUUUUAUAUGGGAAUAAAACGUUCCACGUGUGGGAUUUUGUAUGUACCAUAUGAAUAAGAUCGGCUAACUCCGUGCCCGCAGCCGCGGUAAUACGGAGGAUCCGAGCGUUAUUCGGAUUUUUGUGGUUUAAAGGGAGCGUAGGUGGAUUGUUAAGUCAGUUGUGAAAGUUUGCGGGUCAACCGUAAAAUUUAAGUUGAAACUGGCAGUCUUGAGUACAGUAGAGGUUGGCGGAAUGCGUGGUGUAGCGGUGAAAUGCUUAGAUAUCACGAAGAACUCCGAUUGCGAAGGCAGUUCACUGGACUGCAACUGACACUGAGGCUCGAAAGUGUGGGUAUCAAACAGGAUUAGAUACCCGUGUAGUC
Molecule: ribosomal RNA, 459 nt
Filed under: uncultured bacterium
Lineage: Bacteria
Description: partial 16S ribosomal RNA
Rfam family: Bacterial small subunit ribosomal RNA
Source: RNAcentral